UGCGAAUGCUACCGAGAGGAAGAGGAUCA
RNAcentral lists this non-coding RNA (29 nucleotides) under Rattus norvegicus (Norway rat). Lineage: Eukaryota; Metazoa; Chordata; Mammalia; Rodentia; Muridae. The record is from RNAcentral.